CCUACGGGAGGCAGCAGUGAGGAAUAUUGGUCAAUGGACGAGAGUCUGAACCAGCCAAGUAGCGUGAAGGAUGACUGCCCUAUGGGUUGUAAACUUCUUUUAUAAAGGAAUAAAACGAGGCACGUGUGCCUUUUUGCAUGUACUUUAUGAAUAAGGAUCGGCUAACUCCGUGCCAGCAGCCGCGGUAAUACGGAGGAUACGAGCGUUAUCCGGAUUUAUUGGGUUUAAAGGGAGCGUAGAUGGGUUGUUAAGUCAGUUGUGAAAGUUUGCGGCUCAACCGUGAAAUUGCAAUUGAUACUGGCAGUCUUGAGUACAGUUGAGGUAGGCGGAAUUCGUGGUGUAGCAGUGAAAUGCUUAGAUAUCACGAAGAACCCCGAUUGCGAAGGCAGCUUACUAAACUGUGACUGACAUUGAUGCUCGAAAGUGUGGGUAUCAAACAGGAUUAGAUACCCCGGUAGUC
RNAcentral lists this ribosomal RNA (460 nucleotides) under uncultured bacterium. RNAcentral's name for it is "partial 16S ribosomal RNA". It matches the Rfam family "Bacterial small subunit ribosomal RNA", at positions 338 to 795 of the family's 1533-position model. The record is from RNAcentral.